CCUACGGGAGGCAGCAGUAGGGAAUCUUCCACAAUGGACGAAAGUCUGAUGGAGCAACGCCGCGUGAGUGAAGAAGGGUUUCGGCUCGUAAAGCUCUGUUGGUAGUGAAGAAAGAUAGAGGUAGUAACUGGCCUUUAUUUGACGGUAAUUACUUAGAAAGUCACGGCUAACUACGUUCCCGCAGCCGCGGUAAUACGUAGGUGGCAAGCGUUUUCCGGAUUUAUUGGGCGUAAAGCUCGUGCCGUCGGUUUCCUUAGUCUUUU
This 263-nucleotide ribosomal RNA is filed under the name uncultured bacterium. Its description in RNAcentral is "partial 16S ribosomal RNA". It matches the Rfam family "Bacterial small subunit ribosomal RNA", at positions 338 to 593 of the family's 1533-position model. The record is from RNAcentral.